AACGAACGCUGGCGGCAGGCCUAACACAUGCAAGUCGAGCGCCCCGCAAGGGGAGCGGCGGACGGGUGAGUAACGCGUGGGAACGUACCCUUUGCUACGGAAUAGCCUCGGGAAACUGGGAGUAAUACCGUAUGUGCCCUUCGGGGGAAAGAUUUAUCGGCAAAGGAUCGGCCCGCGUUGGAUUAGGUAGUUGGUGGGGUAAUGGCCUACCAAGCCGACGAUCCAUAGCUGGUUUGAGAGGAUGAUUAGCCACACUGGGACUGAGACACGGCCCAGACUCCUACGGGAGGCAGCAGUGGGGAAUCUUAGACAAUGGGCGCAAGCCUGAUCUAGCCAUGCCGCGUGAGCGAUGAAGGCCUUAGGGUUGUAAAGCUCUUUCAGUGGGGAAGAUAAUGACUGUACCCACAGAAGAAGCCCCGGCUAACUCCGUG
Molecule: ribosomal RNA, 431 nt
Filed under: uncultured bacterium
Lineage: Bacteria
Description: bacterial SSU rRNA
Rfam family: Bacterial small subunit ribosomal RNA
Source: RNAcentral